GCACUGUUGAGGGGUCCCACAAUAGGACGAAACGGUCGUCCAGUGC
This 46-nucleotide non-coding RNA is filed under the name Schistosoma mattheei. Lineage: Eukaryota; Metazoa; Platyhelminthes; Trematoda; Strigeidida; Schistosomatidae. The record is from RNAcentral.